AUUGAACGCUGGCGGCAUGCCUUACACAUGCAAGUCGAACGGCAGCACGGGUGCUUGCACCUGGUGGCGAGUGGCGAACGGGUGAGUAAUACAUCGGAACAUGUCCUGUAGUGGGGGAUAGCCCGGCGAAAGCCGGAUUAAUACCGCAUACGAUCUACGGAUGAAAGCGGGGGACCUUCGGGCCUCGCGCUAUCGGGUUGGCCGAUGGCUGAUUAGCUAGUUGGUGGGGUAAAGGCCUACCAAGGCGACGAUCAGUAGCUGGUCUGAGAGGACGACCAGCCACACUGGGACUGAGACACGGCCCAGACUCCUACGGGAGGCAGCAGUGGGGAAGUUUGGACAAUGGGCCAAAUCCUGAUCCAGCAAUGCCGCGUGUGUGAAGAAGGCCUUCGGGUUGUAAAGCACUUUUGUCCGGAAAGAAAUCCUUGGCCCUAAUACGGUCGGGGGAUGACGGUACCGGAAGAAUAAGCACCGGCUAACUACGUG
RNAcentral lists this ribosomal RNA (486 nucleotides) under uncultured bacterium. RNAcentral describes it as "partial 16S ribosomal RNA". It matches the Rfam family "Bacterial small subunit ribosomal RNA", at positions 30 to 507 of the family's 1533-position model. The record is from RNAcentral.